GGAGGGUGCAAGCGUUGUUCGGAUUCACUGGGCGUAAAGAGCAUGUAGGCGGGGGGUCGGCCAGUCCCGUGUGUAAUCUCCCGGGCUCAACCGGGAAACUGCACGGGAUACUACUGAUCUUGAGUGCGAGAGAGGAUGGCGGAAUUCCUGGUGUAGCGGUGAAAUGCGUAGAUAUCAGGAGGAACACCGGUGGCGAAGGCGGCCAUCUGGCUCGACACUGACGCUGAGAUGCGAAGGCCCGGGGGAGCAAACAGGAUUAGAUACCCUGGUAGUCCCGGCAGUAAACGUUGGACACUAGGUGUAGGGGGUUCGACCCCUUCUGUGCCGCAGUUAACGCAUUAAGUGUCCCGCCUGGGGAGUACGACCGCAAGGUUG
This 375-nucleotide ribosomal RNA is filed under the name uncultured organism. RNAcentral's name for it is "partial 16S ribosomal RNA". It matches the Rfam family "Bacterial small subunit ribosomal RNA", at positions 527 to 896 of the family's 1533-position model. The record is from RNAcentral.